AUCAAACUUGGGUCCUUGAGCUUGCGAGGCAGGAGCAGAACCACUGAGCUAAAUCCCCAGCUCAAAUUCUUAAUUCAAGAGUAUUUGCACUGUGGCUCCUUGGGAGAACAGAAUUCAGGAGUGAAGAAAUUGAUGUGUGUGGAAAUGGAGAGAGACACUGAUGAAGCAAGGUACACCUCUUAUGUAAAUAUAUAAAUAAUUUUGGGUAUUGAAAUGUACAGCCAAUACACUUCUGUGCAGUGUGGGUUUAGACAUUAUUCCAGUAACACAUUUACUAAAGAAAACCUCGUGUUUAGCAGCUGAAGUUACACUGCUUUUCCCUUUAUGGGCAGCUCGCUCUUCUGCCCUCACAAGGCUGAGAAGGGCUUGCUCACUUGGGUCAAGUAAUGGAUACUUGUAGUGGUGUGUAGGUUCAGGGAUUUCUAAGUUGGGGGUGGGUGGCUGAAGACAGGAGUGUGGGUGAAAGGAAGGGACUGAUUCUCUUGGGGGACCCAGGCAGACCUUUUCUCCAGAGCCGGGGGAUUUGCUAGAAGGACCGUUACCAAGCCCCUCUACCUCAGGGCCUUCUGCAUUUGAACACUUGUUUCCUGUGCUAUUCUGCUGUAAGUCUGAUAUAAUGACAGCAAGGUUAUUAAAGAUGUUCCUGGAUUUUCUUCAAAUGGUUAGUCAGGGUCUAUGGGUGCCUUUUAACCAUGCAGCUGUCUUUUCACCUCUCUGUGUCCCUCAUGCUUAUGCCAAGGACUGCAGGGCCUGGGCUCAACUGACCCGGAGCAGAACUUGUCCUUCAGUCCUUUCCUGCCUUGCCAGCUUCCUCACAAGACCAGAAAUCUGGUGCAGAGCCUCUGCUUGGGUGAACUACAUGUGUUAGCUCUUCACCAUCCUAUGCCGCUGUUCAGAUCCCGAGAUGUCUGCCCGGACUGAGAAGUUUCUGGCUUCUGAGGUUGCCCUUUGCAGCCUUGCUUAGUGCCAGGCUGUGCUCUCCUCUACAGAGCCAGCAGGCAAAUCCAGCGUCACUUGCUGCCAGUUCCCAUAAGGGGUUUGUUUGAGAAGUGUUAGGCAGAAAUCCUUCUGCACAACACUAGAAACUAGGAGCCACACUGAGAACACUUUUUGUCACUCUUGAAAUAUUUGCAGAAAGGCCACUUGCUUUUGUUGGAAAUAAGUGGGGGAAACAUCCCUGAUGGGCCUGUGAGCUCACCAAGGGCAGGCAUGAUGUUUAUCGCUGGGCUGGGAACCAGAAGUGUGGGUCCCAGGUCCCUGUAAGCCUGACGGCCACACUUCAAACCAUGUGCUCACCUGAACACUUGCCAACCUGUGGUGCAGGGUCUCCCGCACAUCCCUGAGUUAGAGACGACUCCUAGAGGCAAGAAUCCGUGUGGGAACUGGCAGCUGGGAUUUGUCAGUAUCUGUGUUGACUAUGACAAAGGCCUGCUAAAGUGGAUGUUUUGUUUUUCUUUUUCUUUUUUUGGCACCAGGGAUCGGAACCAGAACUUUACACUUGCCAGGCAGGCGUGGUGCCACUGAGCUAAAUCCCUGGCCUGAUGUUUUCAAUUUUGUAAGGCUCAGCAGCUGCUAAUACUCAGCCUUUGGGGCAAUGGCCAGUUGUUGCCUGGCAUAGGACUCUUUCUCCAGGAGUCAAAAAUAGUAAGGCUUAUCUCCUACCAGUCUGAAAAGUAUACACCAGAUCAUUGCUUAGCAUCAGCUUUGGCUUUGAACACGGAGCCUUCCUUAUGCCUGGUGUGGACCCAUUCCAACGUCUGUGUCCCUCUGGGGCCUGGGAGUCUUCAGUUAAUUACAAAUGCAGUGAGUUGGAAGCCAUCUGCUUUCCAUGCCCACCAUCCAUUCUGGGACCUCUUCUUCCGUCUGGCUAGGAAGGGCAGCGUACUUCAUUGCCAUAUGGACAGAAGUGUUUUAGCCUAGGAAUUACAUCUGUGACGGCAUUAAAAACCAGAUGAAAAUCAAGAUGGGAAAUUUAAAAGGAGCACCCAGGUACAGAUGGUACCAGAUGCUACAUGAGGAUUCAUUUUUCGUGUAACUACCUGUAGCAUUUUAGCUAGAAGAUAAAAGGUAAAUUAACCCAUAGGUAAGUCAUGUUUAUUUGCAUGCCAGUGGCCAGGAGGGUAAAUUUGCUGUUUGUCUUGAUACAGUGGAAGCCCAACACAAUAGAAAGUGAAGUUCUUCACUUUUCCACUGAGGCCUUCAGGGAAGUUUUUGUAAAGGGUGAUAAUGAAUUAACCUUUCUGUAGAAGGAAUUAACCUCCAAGAAGAGGCAGGGAGGUUAGGAACUGCGUAUUUCUCUUUGUACAGCUGAGGGAUUGGACCAAGAUGCUUUUUCCUGGGCCAGAGGUGGGAGUGGGUGGAUGAAAACAGUGACCUUGUCCUUAGAGUGGGAAGAGUUUGAAAAUGAGAAGGGGGAGGAAUAUGGAGACUGAGAAUCCCUCCACAGGGUUGGGUGUCCACUAGGUUCCAGGCUGGUGAGCUCAGAAUCCCAGAUGUCUGGGCUUCCUUUCCCCUCCCUAUUCCUCACAGUUACACCCUUGGUGAGAAUCCUGAGACCCACAGGCUCACGGAGGCAGGUCCAGUCCCAUCCCUUCCCAUUUCAGGAAAACCCUUUUCUGAUUCAGGUAGGGGGAGGGGAGGAGCAAAGGGCUCCUUUUACUCCCAAGUCAUGGACUUUUCAUACCCCAUUUUUAUUGCUAAUAUACCUCUGUUCCCAGGAGCUACUAGAGCCCCGUGUGGUGGGAAAAGGCUGUGAAUUAAGUUUAUGUUUUGUUUUGUUUUGUUUUGUUUUUAGAAGAAAUGGAAGUUUUAUAUUUAUAUCAAUAUUGCUAUGUGAUGAACUGAGUGUAGAGAUGUUAAAGUUGAAGGAAAUUUCAUAACUAUAAUCCUAGAAGAAAUGGGCAGUUUUGUAAUUUGGUAGUGGCUGAGACCCUUAUAAGCUUUGCGAUGUAAAUGUUUUAGAGUGAAUAAGGACAUUGAACUGUGUGAUCUUUGCAGCACUCUAGGAGAUGAACAUGACCGUCCCAGUAAAGAGGACACAUGGCAAAUACCCAGCCUUAAGGAAACGUGUAGGACAGAAGAGGGUACAUUAUCAGGCUUUCAGUCAACUGGAGAGAGGUGGGAGUCGGAGGUCAUCUUAUAACUGGCACUUUAAUUCAUUUUGGGAAUUGGAAUUUAGAAGCAAGAAAAGCUACAACUGUGGAAAGGAAAGAGGAAUUUUCUAGUACUCUGUAGAAACACGAAGAUGGCAGAGCUUUUAAUACCACCUCGAAGCAUCCAGUGCUGAAGAGGAAAAAGCACAUUUGGGAACCAGAGACUAAAUGCCGUAGACUACAAAACUACAACAAAGUCUUUCCCUCUUAUGGGGGCAAAUAAAUGGCCAGAGAGUUUGUGGAGACGGGGGUUCUGGCGGCCAUUUUCCCUGCAGUGAGUCCCGCCCAGUUUCAUGACGGACUGCAGUGGCUGUAGAGAACACUACAGGGAGUUAAGAUGGAAUGUCUUCCACGUGUACCUCAUUCUUAGGCUAAUUC
Fukomys damarensis (Damara mole-rat) is the source of this 3530-nucleotide long non-coding RNA. RefSeq lists it as uncharacterized. NCBI's taxonomy places the organism in Eukaryota, Metazoa, Chordata, Mammalia, Rodentia, Bathyergidae. The record is from RefSeq and is a predicted model, not a curated record. The transcript is spliced from 3 exons.